RNAcentral lists this ribosomal RNA (504 nucleotides) under uncultured bacterium. RNAcentral describes it as "bacterial SSU rRNA". It matches the Rfam family "Bacterial small subunit ribosomal RNA", at positions 19 to 518 of the family's 1533-position model. The record is from RNAcentral.
CUGGCUCAGGAUGAACGCUGGCGGCGUGCCUAAUACAUGCAAGUCGAACGAGGUAGCAAUACCGAGUGGCGAACGGGUGAGUAACACGUAGGUAACCUGCCCUUAAGCUUGGGAUACCCAGAGGAAACUUUGGCUAAUACCGGAUAACAACAGAGAAGGCAUCUCUUUGCUUGAAAGGCCCCUUCAAGGGUCACUUAAGGAUGGACCUGCGGCGCAUUAGCUAGUUGGUGAGAUAACAGCCCACCAAGGCGAGGAUGCGUAGCCGAACUGAGAGGUUGAUCGGCCACAUUGGAACUGAGACACGGUCCAAACUCCUACGGGAGGCAGCAGUAAGGAGUUUUCGGCAAUGGGGGGAAACCCUGACCGAGCAACGCCGCGUGAGCGAUGACGGCCCUAUGGGGUUGUAAAGCUCUGUUGUAAGCCAUGAAUGGUAGCUUGAGGAAAUGCAAGCUAUUUGACGACAGCUUACCAGAAAGCCACGGCUAACUACGUGCCAGCAGCGGC